CAGUUGCGGUUACUGCCCUUCAGCCGCUUCCCUUCCUCCUCUACUGGCGGUGGCCCGCGGCUGGGGCUGCUGGGGCGGUGAGCUUGGGGCGGCUGGGGCGGUAAGCGUGGCGCGGCUUCUUUCUGCUCUCCAGGAGGCGGAGGGAGCUGGACGCGGGGAUCAGCCGGCCGCGCUGCAGCAUCGCGGAGGCCGCAGGACGCCCGGCCGACAUCAUGGGCGGACGCCCACCUUGGGCGAGGCCCCGCGAGCGGCGGAGGCCAAGGAAGCUCUGGGGCUCGCGGCUCGCGGCGCGCGGCCGGGGUCAGCGCGGGUGGGCAGUCGGCCAAGCACCAGCCGUUUGCUUGCUUGGAUCCGGAGCGGUGGCGGCGGUAGCGCUUAGUCGCGGGCCCCUGGCGUUGUAGAUGGCCAGGCGCGUCGGAGGAAGCAGCCCCCCAGGCCGGCGGACUUCAAACUACAGGUCAUCAUCAUGGGCUCCCACGGGGUGGGAAGACCAGCCUGAGGAGUCCUUUCACUGAGGACACCUUCUGGAGGCCUGCAAGUCCACCGUGGUUAAGGCAUACUUAAACAAGCUCCACAGUGCAGUAUUCCUUGCCUAUUUUUUGUCAAAUAGCUCGUAGUGUGUGCUUACUUUAUUCAUUAACUUACUGUAUUACUCUUAUGAGACUGGUGUUGAUUUUAGGCUUGAAGAAGUUGUACUGGAUUAAGACUCUUACAACUCAAUCAUUUGUCCUUUGAACCCUCUUGCAUUUUUUCACACAUGAGCUUUUGAGGGACACCUCAUAUCCAAACCAUAACAGUGUCCAAAAGAGUUUCAUAUGUUUUAGUAAUACACCUAGAAACAAACUACAAAACGAAUUAUGUAGAGAGAAACAGGAAAAUAUGCACAGUAAAUGUUGGUAUCCUUUUUAUUUUAGUCUAAAAGGAGUAUUUUGCAGAAGGGUGUAAAUGAAAUGUAAACAUCAUCAUUUGGUCUAGAGGAAAGGGUGCUCAUGGGGACAGCAGGAAGACUAUGCCUAAUUUUAGUAUAAAAAGAGUUAUAAAAACUAUGAAGGGGUAAAGUCAAUCUAGAAGAUAUAUGGCAAGUACCUGCGAACCAGAGUAAGCCAGGUAAAGGACACUGAUUAGUGCAGCAGGAAAACCUAUGCCAGCCAAAGAAGGGAUUUGGCAUCAUAUAGGAGCCAUUCAAAUUUAUUAACAGAAACGCUACUUAAUGUCAUCAUUUAAGUCAUCACUUUGGCCACCCCUUCUAAAAAGGUAUCUUCUGUUGUACCUCUAAUGUCAAUUUUCUCUUCUUUUACUGUCAUCAACUAAAAUUCCAGUGGACUGGAGAACUUUGCCAACCCUGUAAUUCUGCCAAAAUCCUUCACCUGAAAGCUAUCCUUAGAAAAUGCUCUUUUAACAGGCUACCAGUUCUAUUUUUGAAUCUAGGCUAAAUAAAAUAUUCCCAAGUUUUCACCAUUAUGGAACAAUUCUUAGUGUGUUAACUUCUCAUUCAUUAGUUGAUUUGAUUGUUUCUUUUAAAUGGUAAUUUUCUUGGGGUAUUCUUAGAAUUUGAGAAAAAUGAGCAGAUCACAUCCCAAGUGAGCUGGCCAUCUCAAUUUCAUUUUUCUUUGCAGCUGAAACCAAAAAUUAUUCAUAAAAAUUCUACAGUUCUAACAUAAGUAACCUCAGGGGAGAGCAAAUGCAUCUAUCAAAUAAGCAAGGUUAAGGAUUAUUAAUGCAGAAGCCACUGUUUUCAUUGUCACCAUUAUAGCUUCAUUUGGCAAAACACAGUGGCAGAUCUUAUCUUUUACAUUUCACUUCUGCAAAAAUGAAAAUAUACUAAAUGCGAAAUUAUGAAUGUAAGUGUUAUGGCAGUAUCACAUUGGAAAAAUCACAUAAAGUUUUUUUCUGUUAGCUCUUUUUUAAAAAUUUUUAUUGUAAAGCAAAUGGGAUACAUGUUGUUUCUCUGUUUGUACAUGGAGUAAAGGCAUACCAUUUGUGUUUUGUAAUUAAAACUUACGCAGUAACCGCUGAAGGGAUGUCCAAUUCUCUCACUGUUGAAUAACUGAUUUUAUAAUGCUUAUUAUACAUUAUUGCCAGGAGCAACAGUAGUAGUAAUGGAUCAACAAUUUAGGGCCACUUUUAUGUAUGUAUCAAGAGCUUUAAAAUUAAUGUAUAAAUCUCAGGUUUGCGUUUUUUCACAUUCACAUUGCACCUCCAAUAUCUCCAGUUCUCAUGAAGUAAACUGCAGACUGAAGAACAUGACAGUGUAGCCCAGUGCCUGACUUUUCUGCAACUGGACCAUCCUGGGGCCACUCUCCUUUCCUUUGUCCUUCUGCUACUUGCUGUGACCCCACCACCCCCUCCCUCCCUCAGCUCCCAACCUGUCCAUCAAUAGUCCCAUCAGAUCAUUUCAGGACUGACAUGCACAGAGGCGACCCCCUGUUCUGGGAUUGUUCAGCUCCUUCACCAUCCUAGUCCUGGGUCCUCCUCAUUCUGUCCUAAGAUCUUUUGCCUAUAUAUUUACAUAUAAAGCACUAGGGACAACAGGAGUCCUCCUGGAUUUCAGAACUGUCCCCCAAGAGCAGCUUCAGUUUUUCCCACUCAGAUUCAGAGGGAAAUCUUGCUAGUUUCCAGACCAAACUACAGAAAUGUGAACAUUUAGAAACUAGAGAGGGGUAUCUGUGGCCAGGGUUAAGAUAAUCAAAGAGAUUAGUGUGGAAGCUUGGGUACAGUCUAUGAAAGUUGUCAGAAAUCAUAUAACCCAAUGGUUCCUGCCAGGUCAUCAGAAUCACCAUGAACCAUUCUGUGUUUUUAAAUGAAAUUCCCAGGUCCUUGCUUAGUUCUGUUGACUCAUAUUUUUUGAUAGUAGAAUAGAGAUAAUUUUUCUGAGUUUUUUAAUUAUUGCAUGUGUUACAGACUACAGUGUAACAAGGGAAGAGAAUAUGCCUCUUGGAUAUACAGGACAUAGAGUAUCACAGAAUCUGAGUUUCAUUAAGGACUAUAAUGUCAUCUAAUCUAAUCUCUUAUCUCUGGCCCAAUCUGCCUCCCUGUUACAACUUCCUUGAUGGGUGGUUGUCUAGCCUCUUCUAGAAAAUGCCCAUGUAUGGUGUCCUGUUAGAUAGUUCUUAUUAUUUCAACCCUUGUGAUGAGUUGAAAUAUGCUGCCUUAAGCCACCCACUGGUUCUAGGCAGUAUUCUCAUAUUGCAUUCUUGAUGCCUUACCAGUCCAUAGUAGAGCUGGAAAUAGUACUUAGGUUUUCUGAAUAUAUUCUAUGGAUUCAGUGUUUGGGGCUUACAGUGCCCCUACACUUUUUCCCCCUAUACCAUGUGUAAGUGUACAUUUUUAAAACACAGUGUUAGUACCAUUACCUUAAAAUAGAAAAAAAAAUAGGAAUAUAAAUGUAUUUUAGCUAGUCUGAAUAGUCUUCUAAGAAAAAUCUUUAAUAUACUGCUAUUCUUUAGUAACAUUGUCUUUAGAGACAACCUAACAUUUUUAGUCAUGCUUUUCCCAGAAACAAUAUCAUUAUUUCAAAUGUUAAAUCAUAGUUGAAACCAAAUCAAACCUUUUCUGUGUUUUUGAAGAUAAUCUUUUUAAAUCAAAGAUAAUUUAGCAACAGCACAAAACAUUCAGAAAUGAGAAAAAGGGAAAAUCCUACUCCUAAUUCUUCUACUUUUAAAAAACUACCCUUCAUUUUGGUAUGCGGCUAUAGAUUUUCUCAUCUUUUAAAUAAAUAUAUUGUUGAGAUACACAUACAGUUUUGAAUCCUACCUUUUCUACUUACUUUAUAUCAUAAGCAUUUUUCCAAGUUAUUGUAGUCAUCAGAACCAUUGUUUAUAAUUGCAUUAUAUUUUUUCACAAAGCUUAGUGAUGAAGAGAAUAGACUGCAGGCAGACUCCCUGGGCUUGUAUCCCAGCUCUGCCAUUUAUUGGCUCUGUGAUCCUGAACAAGUUAUUUGACUUGUUUGUGUCUUGGUUUUUCCAUUCUAUUAAAUGAAGAUAAUAUGAUUUAUCUCAUAGGGUUAUAAGAAGUAUAUUUACAGGUCUUGUUGUGCCUGACAUAUAGUAAAUUCUGUACAUGUUAUUUAAAAAAUUGCUGUUUCACCUUUAUAAUCGAGUGCACAUAUCAAAAAUUACUUAAGUAUAUCUGUUUGGACUUUAGGUUGCUUCUGUUUCUUGUCCCUGUAAAACUUUGAUGUAAGUGACAAAGUGUACCUUCUAAGAUAUACUUCAGAAUUAUUUUCAUAGGUUAUUUUACUCAAGUUUUUAAAACUUUUUAAUUGGUUUGUGCUCCUCUUGAAGGUACUUGUACUGCAUCUACACCUUUUGUAUUGCUGGGAAACGUUUUGGAUUGUCUUCCUUUGGAUCAAUGUGACACAGUAUUCACUUAUGGAAAAUAAUGUUGCUACACGGAAAUUAGUAAUUGUGUUAGUUUCUUUUCCUGCUAACAUUGUCUUUGAAUAGAUCCUGAGUUCUGAGAUUAAUUUUGUUUAUUUGAUUAUAUUUCUAAUAUUGCUGAUUGCCAAAAUGUUUGUCCCCAUGAAAGAAUUUUAUACUGUGCUGUCUUGGGAGAGCCAAAUAAGAAUCAUGUGGAGAAAAAUUUGAGUGCAAAGCUUGAUUGAGUAGUAAAAAGUAACCUGAAGAUACAUACUUUCAGGUGUUUAUAGCAGAUACUCAGUGUUGUGUUAUGUUAUAUUCCUGAACAUAUUUUUACUUUUUUGAAAAUGUUAUUAGGUUGACAAAAGUGAAAGCACAGUACAUUCUCAGUGCCCAAUAAUAUUUAAUAUUUUACUUCCUGUGACUUAUUAUUGAAGGGGGUGUGACAGCUUCUGAAGAAUAUUAAUAAUUUCUGUUAAAUUCCAUAGUACAUUCUGUUCUGCUGGGAAGAAUUAUUGUGGACGUGCAAUGAUCUUUUAAGAGAUAAUAUAAAUCUCAGAGUACAGUCUUCUGUGGACCAAUUCAACUCUUUUUGACCAGGCUUUUUCUUCUAUCUGAAAAAUCAGCACAUUGAGGAUAGAGAUGAGGGGAUGGAUAUAGAAGAAUGUGAAAUGGGAGAUGAUGAAGCUCCAACAACAUGGCAGGAUUCUCCCUGUGUUGCCCAGGCUACUCCUAGGCUCAAGUGAUUCACCUGCCUCAGCUUCCUCAGCAGUUGGAGCUACAGUUGCAGUUGAUUGUGCCCAGCUUGAGACAUUCAAUUUUAGAUAGUGACUGUCACUUCUAAUUUGUUACUCUUUGCACAUAUAAUAGCGACAUAUUCUUGCUGUGGAUAAGAAAAUUCAAAAGUUUCUGUAGAAUGGUAAAGGUGAAAGUUAAAUUACAGUUGAUUGAGGAAUAAAUGAAAAGUGAUGACGUAGCAUAGAGUGUAGACAACUCUUUCAAGAAUUUUUUUUCCAUGAAGGAAAGAGGAAAAGCCUCUAAUAGGGAUAUUACCAUAAAGGAGGUUUCUUUCAAAUUUGUCUAAUGGUUAUUUUAUACCAUUGUGUAGUUUGAGCCUCUGACCUCCCCUUUAUUAUAAUUGAGUCACUGCCCAAUCUACUGUGAAAACAAUGAACUAUUUCACCUCAUGCUGAUCCACAUAAUUAAGUAAUUAUAUAAAUAACACACUAGUAAAUAUGGAAACCUGGCAAGUUUGCAGUUUCCACAAUAAAUUGAAUUAGAUGAUGAUUUGGAUCAUUUUCUUCUAUCAGCUAGAUUUCAUCAAUAUUGAAAUUUGUUUUUCAGUUCACCAAAGGAUGAUUAGGCAGUCAGAUGACUAACUGACUAAAUGUUCCCCAUAUAUAUAUUCUGAGUCAUUUGUAAAUAUUACACAGCAACAGAUUCUAUCCAAAGAAUCUCUUUGGGGGAAAUAGGGAAACAUUUUAAUGUUUUCUGCCUAACAUUGUCAUUUCUGUUUUAUAAAAUCAUAGUACAGUUGGAAACCUUGGGAGAUAAUCUCCCUCCAGGCAAAAUAACACCAUUUUGUGCUCUUUUAUGAAGUUCUAUAUGUACAGAUCCAGCAUUUCCCCCUUUGCAGCACAGCAUAAUAUUUCACCACCUUUAUAAUGAGGAAUUUUUCCCUUGUUUAUACUAAAAAUUGUUUUUGCAGCACAGUAUAAACAUUGAAAUAGGUAGUUUAAUAACUGUAUUAAUACUAUGCAAUACAAAUGUUUGAAAUUUAAGAGUUCACACAUCCUAUUGCUGACAGCAUGGCAACUUAAUUAAGUUUUCAGAUAUUGAACUGCUUUCCUAAGCAGCAUCUUAAGUGCACAAAGAUUUCAGUGUUCUCAUGAAACAACUGUUGACAGGUAUCUUUAUAGAGAAAAUAUGGAGGUGGAUGUGUUUUCACAAAGAAAUCAUUUAUAAUUUUAAGUAAGGAUCUAUCAAAAAUAUAUCUCAUACCAUUUAUAAAUUUAAAGUUGUGAUUAAUUUAGUCAUAUUCCAAAGAUAUAUUUUGACACUCUUCAUCUUAAAUAUAGUCUCAUAGAAAACCUAAGGUUUGUUAUUAUCUAUCUUCGUGGUUGGAAGACUGCCUAUAUUUUUCUGUAUCCUCCUUUAAUUUGUAUGUCUUGAUGAGAUGCCCAUAGAUACAUCUGACUGCAGUGUGUUGACUAUAGACAAACUCAUCACAGAACAUUCUCUUUUGAGUUGAAAGGUGAAGGCCAUAUACAGUAGGGUAUGAGUGAUGUUUCAUGUGAUCCUCCCAAUUUAAUCAGUACCAUGGAGUGAAUGCAAAAUCUUGUUAACUAUUCUUAGAUUCUCCCCAAAUUUUAAAAUUUAAAUUCACAUUUUUAUAGCUGGAUUCUUUUAAUGACCAUUUGAUCUAACUUUUUCUUAGUAAUUAGUAUGUGUUUUCUUUAACUUUUAUGUACAUUACGGCUACCUUAUAGUAACUGGUUGGGUAGAAACUUUUUAUUUUAAUUUUGGAAGAUUUUAUGAAUGAUCAACUCUAAAGUGACAGGGUCUACUUAAAAAUCAAAGUGUGUCUUAAUAGUAAAUUAGAUCUUUUGUAUCAUGAGGUAUAUUCAUUCUAAUUAUAAUGACAAUUUAAACUGUAUACAUUAAUGUUUUGUAAUAGAAUAUUUUCCAUAUUAUGAUGUCACCUGUGUCUCUCCUUGACAGUGUAACACUGGUACUUUUCUCUUACUCAAUUUCAAAAUUAUUUGAAUGUCUACUAUUUGUUACGCAUAGACUAAUAUGUAAGAAUUCCAAGUACAGAUUCAUGAAUAUAUUAAGUUUUGAAGAUUUUGAGUUUUUUGUUUGCUUGUUUGUUGUUUUUGAUCAGCAGAGGGCAGGGAUUCUAUCUUUAAUUUGUUCUUUUCUUGCUAUAAUUUGGCUAACAGCAGUGUACCCAGAAGUCAGAAGAAACACAUGCGAACACAUGCUAUAUUCUUUUCAAAAAAGUAUUAGAGAUGUCAUAUUACAAACCUUACAAUGAAAACAAGCUACUCUUUCCAUGUUAUAUUUACUUCAAGGUGAAUUUUUUAUGAAAAAAAAAAUCCUUUGCUCUGUUUAGUAUUGUAUUUAACUCUAUUUUGUACUGAAUGGCAAAUAUGCUUUU
Sciurus carolinensis (gray squirrel) is the source of this 7518-nucleotide long non-coding RNA. RefSeq lists it as uncharacterized. The record is from RefSeq and is a predicted model, not a curated record. NCBI's taxonomy places the organism in Eukaryota, Metazoa, Chordata, Mammalia, Rodentia, Sciuridae. The transcript has 4 exons.